Molecule: ribosomal RNA, 941 nt
Filed under: Tirachoidea biceps
Lineage: Eukaryota; Metazoa; Arthropoda; Insecta; Phasmatodea; Phasmatidae
Description: SSU rRNA
Rfam family: Eukaryotic small subunit ribosomal RNA
Source: RNAcentral
CCCACUCCCGGCACGGGGAGGUAGUGACGAAAAAUAACGAUACGGGNCUCAUCCGAGGCCCCGUAAUCGGAAUGAGUACNCUUUAAACCCUUUAACGAGUAUCCAUUGGAGGGCAAGUCUGGUGCCAGCAGCCGCGGUAAUUCCAGCUCCAAUAGCGUAUAUUAAAGUUGUUGCGGUUAAAAAGCUCGUAGUUGGAUUUGUGUCCCACGCUGUCGGUUCACCGUUCGUCGGUGUUUAACUGGCAUGCCCGUGCGGACGUCCUGCCGGUGGAUGCGGUCGGCCGUGGGCCUUUGGUCUGCGCGUCGGCGGUCCGAUGCAAUCCUACCGCGGUGCUCUUCACCGAGUGUCGAGGUGGGCCGGCACGUUUACUUUGAACAAAUUAGAGUGCUCAAAGCAGGCAGUGGUUCGCCUGAAUAUUGUGUGCAUGGAAUAAUGGAAUAGGACCUCGGUUCUAUUUUGUUGGUUUUCGGAACUUGAGGUAAUGAUUAAUAGGGACAGACGGGGGCAUUCGUAUUGCGACGUUAGAGGUGAAAUUCUUGGAUCGUCGCAAGACGAACCUAAGCGAAAGCAUUUGCCAUGAGUGUUUUCAUUAAUCAAGAACGAAAGUUAGAGGUUCGAAGGCGAUCAGAUACCGCCCUAGUUCUAACCAUAAACGAUGCCAGCUAGCGAUCCGCCGAAGUUCCUCCGAUGACUCGGCGGGCAGCUUCCGGGAAACCAAAGCUUUUGGGUUCCGGGGGAAGUAUGGUUGCAAAGCUGAAACUUAAAGGAAUUGACGGAAGGGCACCACCAGGAGUGGAGCCUGCGGCUUAAUUUGACUCAACACGGGAAACCUCACCAGGCCCGGACACCGGAAGGAUUGACAGAUUGAGAGCUCUUUCUUGAUUCGGUGGGUGGUGGUGCAUGGCCGUUCUUAGUUGGUGGAGCGAUUUGUCUGGUUAUUC